CUGACCGACCAAGUGCUGAAU
Molecule: microRNA, 21 nt
Filed under: Ictalurus punctatus (channel catfish)
Lineage: Eukaryota; Metazoa; Chordata; Actinopteri; Siluriformes; Ictaluridae
Description: ipu-miR-7568
Source: miRBase by way of RNAcentral